UGUCAGACCACUUCUUCCUUCGCCCUAGCUCCUUUUCCAAAGACGCCUCUUUCACGCCGGAGUAAUCAGCUCUGCAGAGCUGAGGAGCUUCUUUGCAUUAUCAAAGAGAGCUGCAGAGAGCAACACGGGAUCUGCCAAGCAGUGCCUCGUCAUCGCCUGGUGAUGUUUGCAGCUGGUACGCUGAAGGCAGCUUUCACCAAGGCUGUUCAGGGGAUGCUGUUUAGCCAAACCUUGCUUACAUAAUAACGCAGUGCCCGAUUCCAGGCAGAUGGGGCUCGAUUUAUUUUUCCUGACAUCUGUCGGAAAGAACUUGGAAGAGGAAAUUCAGAGGGCUGAACCUAGCCCCCAACAAUGGUAUGAUUGAGUCCUUAACCAGUCCAGUGGUAAGUUACUUGACCUACAGGCCUGGAGGGUAUAUAUAGCACAAGGGAAGCCAAGCAAGGUGUCAAGAAGCUCAACUGUAUUGAGGAAGCUGUUGGGGGAUGUCCUCCCAUAAGAUCAGACUUUAAUGGGCAACCAGUUCCAGCCUUCCAUAUGGAGACAAUAGUGUUGACACGGAUAUCAUCUUUGAUUAAGCUGGGAAAGUGCUUUGGGAUCCUCUGAGAUGAAAGGUGCUAUAUAAAUGAAAGGAGAGGGGAUCCCGGGGCUGUCUGCAUUCCAGGCACUCCAACAGUUAAUGAAUAAAACCCUGCCCUGAGACUGGUGUGCAGCAUCCUUCUGUGGGCUUUUUUGUUGAAGCACUGUUGCGUCUUUCUGGCACAGUACGCUGGAGGUUCUAUAUUAGCAAUGAUAACGGAGAGUCCUUGGCCUUUUUUUUUCUAUGCUAUUUAGGCCAACUCUGGGUAAUCGUGCUUUCUAACUCACACUCAGCCUACUGCCAUGGCAACCACUGAAACACGUAGUUCAUAGACUACUUCUGAGAUGUACAGCUCCUUUGAGAAACACAUACACACUGAUGUGUCAUGAAAGGUAUUAAAAGGGGAGAACUAUCAUCCACUAAGCUGGCACAUUUUUUCCAGUUUUAACUCUAGCAGCACAAAUAUUUUUUUCUUUUAGCUUUGAGACUCUUUCUGCCUCCUUUCCUUAGAAAAUUAUUAAAGAUUUAUGAAGAAAAUUAAAAGAAAGAGAGAGAAAAAAAAUGCAUCCAUAAAUUCUACCCCUGCAGCCUAAUUUUACUAUGGUAGAGAAAUCUGCCUUGUAAGAAACCAACAUUAUAUUCAAAUGCUGAGUAUAUGACUAGAGUUUUGCCUAUGGAAAAAAUAAAAAGUUUCCUAUGAUUGUAUUUUACUUCUGUUUUACUUUAAUGCAACUGAAAUAAAAUAAUCAGCCCUUGAGAA
Alligator mississippiensis (American alligator) is the source of this 1337-nucleotide long non-coding RNA. RefSeq lists it as uncharacterized. NCBI's taxonomy places the organism in Eukaryota, Metazoa, Chordata, Crocodylia, Alligatoridae. The record is from RefSeq and is a predicted model, not a curated record. The transcript is spliced from 4 exons.